UGAAUGUUCAAAUUUGAGGAAUCCGAAAUGGAACAGAAGUAUCCUAUGUCAGAGAGGACACCAUUUAUGAUCCCUUAAACCUAUGGAUCAAAGUGUUAUUAAUCGCCGUUCCUCAUUUCCUUCCACUGCUGGGAUUUGACAAGGAUUUUCUUUCACCUUGAAAAACUGCACAUGGUGGAGAGUUUCUUUGCCUGAUUCCUGCAGUCUGAACAUAUCCUACUGGGUAAAGCCGUCUGAGGACCUGCCAGACUGUUCCCAUGACUCCUGCAGCAUAUGAGGCUCCCAGCUUCCCUGCAUCCUCACCAAACACGCGCUUUUUGGCGUCCUUUGGCCGCAGCCAGUCUUGCAGGUAUGAAGUGGUGCCUGGCUAAUGCUGAUUGCACAUAUUUUCCUGUGUUUAAUUAGCUCUUUGAAUAUGGUUUGUGCAGAAAUACCUACUCAGAUUCCUUGUCUGGUUUUAAUUGCUUUAUCUUUUUAUUAUUAACUUGUAAAUGUUCUUUAUAUAUUCUGAAUGCCUUUCCUUUAUGACACAUGUGAUUUAAAAAUGUUUUUUCCUUUGGAUUGUUGUUUUAUUUUUUUCAGUGGUAUCCCUUAAAAAACAAAUGUUUUUCAUUUUUAUAAAAUUAAUUUAUCUACUUUUUGUUUGCCUGCUUGCAUUUCUAAGAAUCUAUAACCUAAUCCAAAAAUCACAAAG
Capra hircus (goat) is the source of this 694-nucleotide long non-coding RNA. RefSeq lists it as uncharacterized. The record is from RefSeq and is a predicted model, not a curated record. NCBI's taxonomy places the organism in Eukaryota, Metazoa, Chordata, Mammalia, Artiodactyla, Bovidae. The transcript is spliced from 3 exons.